This 734-nucleotide ribosomal RNA is filed under the name uncultured bacterium. RNAcentral's name for it is "bacterial SSU rRNA". It matches the Rfam family "Bacterial small subunit ribosomal RNA", at positions 60 to 795 of the family's 1533-position model. The record is from RNAcentral.
AGUCGAGGGGUAUAGGUUUUCGGACCUAGAGACCGGCGCACGGGUGCGUAACGCGUAUGCAAUCUACCUUUUACAGAGGGAUAGCCCAGAGAAAUUUGGAUUAAUACCUCAUAGUAUUAUUGAAUGGCAUCAUUUAAUAAUUAAAGUCACAACGGUAAAAGAUGAGCAUGCGUCCCAUUAGUUUGUUGGUAAGGUAACGGCUUACCAAGACUACGAUGGGUAGGGGUCCUGAGAGGGAGAUCCCCCACACUGGUACUGAGACACGGACCAGACUCCUACGGGAGGCAGCAGUGAGGAAUAUUGGUCAAUGGGCGCAAGCCUGAACCAGCCAUGCCGCGUGCAGGAUGAAGCAUCUAUGGUGUGUAAACUGCUUUUGUACGAGAAGAAACACUCCUACGUGUAGGAGCUUGACGGUAUCGUAAGAAUAAGGACCGGCUAACUCCGUGCCAGCAGCCGCGGUAAUACGGAGGGUCCAAGCGUUAUCCGGAAUCAUUGGGUUUAAAGGGUCCGUAGGCGGUUUUGUAAGUCAGUGGUGAAAGCCCAUCGCUCAACGGUGGAACGGCCAUUGAUACUGCAAGACUUGAAUUAUUAGGAAGUAACUAGAAUAUGUAGUGUAGCGGUGAAAUGCUUAGAGAUUACAUGGAAUACCAAUUGCGAAGGCAGGUUACUACUAAUGGAUUGACGCUGAUGGACGAAAGCGUGGGGAGCGAACAGGAUUAGAUACCCUGGUAGUC